AUACGGAGGAUCCGAGCGUUAUCCGGAUUUAUUGGGUUUAAAGGGUGCGCAGGCGGCCAUUUAAGUCAGCGGUUAAAUCGUGGGGCUCAACCCCAUUCUGCCGUUGAUACUGGGUGGCUUGAUUGCGGUCGAGGUUGGCGGAAUUCGUUGUGUAGCGGUGAAACGCAUAGAUAUGACGAAGAACACCGAUUGCGUAGGCAGCUGACCAGACCGCAAAUGACGCUCAUGCACGAAAGUGCGGGUAUCGAACAGGAUUAGAUACCCUGGUAGUCCGCACAGUAAACGAUGAAUACUUGUUUUCGGCGAUAUAAUGUCGGAGGCAAAGCGAAAGCGAUAAGUAUUCCACCUGGGGAGUACGCCGGCAACGGUGAAACUCAAAUGAAUUGACGGGG
Molecule: ribosomal RNA, 392 nt
Filed under: uncultured bacterium
Lineage: Bacteria
Description: partial 16S ribosomal RNA
Rfam family: Bacterial small subunit ribosomal RNA
Source: RNAcentral